AUGGGCCCUCAACACCCAUCAAUGCAUGGUGUUCUUCGACUGAUCGUUACUCUCGAUGGUGAGAAUGUUAUUGAUUGUGAACCCAUAUUAGGCUAUUUACACAGAGGAAUGGAAAAAAUCGCGGAAAACCGAACUAUUAUACAAUACUUACCUUAUGUAACAAGGNNNNNNNNNNGGUUUACAUCAGGUCUGGUACACAGCAUGGCAUACAAAAUAGACCCUAUGGCUGAGGCAUAG
This 237-nucleotide ribosomal RNA is filed under the name Triticum aestivum (bread wheat). RNAcentral's name for it is "partial small subunit ribosomal RNA". The record is from RNAcentral. Lineage: Eukaryota; Viridiplantae; Streptophyta; Magnoliopsida; Poales; Poaceae.